Molecule: long non-coding RNA, 263 nt
Filed under: Gossypium barbadense (sea-island cotton)
Lineage: Eukaryota; Viridiplantae; Streptophyta; Magnoliopsida; Malvales; Malvaceae
Description: long non-coding RNA (GBAR_LNC006171)
Source: RNAcentral
UUACUUUACAUAUUACUGGAGGCUCGAUCAGUUUGGAAGCUCGUCGAAGAGCUCUAUCACACUAUCCAGCAAUUAUAUCGAUAGAUUCUGAUGUCUUGGUUAUGGUUAUAAUGGCAUGUAUAGGUGGACUUAUUCUAAAGUUUAGAUGAUGUUUAUGGCUUGUAAUGUUGCCUUAGAUUUAAGGUACUUAUGGUGUUCUUGAUGCCUUGUUGGUUGUGGUUGAUAUGGUCAAUUUGAUGCAUGUUUAGAAAUAACCAAAUUUG